GAUGAACGCUGGCGGCGUGCCUAAUACAUGCAAGUCGAGCGAACGGACGAGAAGCUUGCUUCUCUGAUGUUAGCGGCGGACGGGUGAGUAACACGUGGAUAACCUACCUAUAAGACUGGGAUAACUUCGGGAAACCGGAGCUAAUACCGGAUGAUAUUUUGAACCGCAUGGUUCAAAAGUGAAAGACGGUCUUGCUGUCACUUAUAGAUGGAUCCGCGCUGCAUUAGCUAGUUGGUAAGGUAACGGCUUACCAAGGCAACGAUGCAUAGCCGACCUGAGAGGGUGAUCGGCCACACUGGAACUGAGACACGGUCCAGACUCCUACGGGAGGCAGCAGUAGGGAAUCUUCCGCAAUGGGCGAAAGCCUGACGGAGCAACGCCGCGUGAGUGAUGAAGGUCUUCGGAUCGUAAAACUCUGUUAUUAGGGAAGAACAUUUGUGUAAGUAACUGUGCACAUCUUGACGGUACCUAAUCAGAAAGCCACGGCUAACUACGUG
RNAcentral lists this ribosomal RNA (497 nucleotides) under uncultured bacterium. Its description in RNAcentral is "partial 16S ribosomal RNA". It matches the Rfam family "Bacterial small subunit ribosomal RNA", at positions 28 to 507 of the family's 1533-position model. The record is from RNAcentral.